RNAcentral lists this ribosomal RNA (367 nucleotides) under uncultured organism. RNAcentral's name for it is "bacterial LSU rRNA". It matches the Rfam family "Bacterial large subunit ribosomal RNA", at positions 2099 to 2465 of the family's 2925-position model. The record is from RNAcentral.
CUUUACUGUAGCUUGGAAUUGGGUUCGGGCUUUGACUACGCAGGAUAGGUGGGAGACUAUGAAGCUGCCCUUGUGGGGGCAGUGGAGUCAUCAGUGAGAUACCACUCUGUCAAGGCUAGAAUUCUAACCGUCUGCCGUUAUCCGGCGACGGAACAGUAUCAGGUGGGCAGUUUGACUGGGGCGGUCGCCUCCUAAAUGGUAACGGAGGCGCGCAAAGGUUCCCUCAGGCUGGUUGGAAAUCAGCCGAAGAGUGUAAAGGCAGAAGGGAGCUUGACUGCAAGAGCAACAACUCAAGCAGGGACGAAAGUCGGCCUUAGUGAUCCGACGGCGCUGAGUGGAAGGGCCGUCGCUCAACGGAUAAAAGUUA